RNAcentral lists this ribosomal RNA (498 nucleotides) under uncultured bacterium. RNAcentral's name for it is "partial 16S ribosomal RNA". It matches the Rfam family "Bacterial small subunit ribosomal RNA", at positions 28 to 507 of the family's 1533-position model. The record is from RNAcentral.
GACGAACGCUGGCGGCGUGCCUAAUACAUGCAAGUCGAACGAGAGCGACCGGUGCUUGCCCUGGUCAAUCUAGUGGCGAACGGGUGAGUAACACGUGGGUAACCUGCCCAUCAGAGGGGGAUAACAUCCGGAAACGGAUGCUAAAACCGCAUAGGUCUUCGAGCCGCAUGGCUUGAAGAGGAAAAGAGGCUCAAGCUUCUGCUGUUGGUUGGACCCGCGGUGCAUUAGCUAGUUGGUGAGGUAACGGCUCACCAAGGCCGUGAUGCAUAGCCGACCUGAGAGGGUGAUCGGCCACAUUGGGACUGAGACACGGCCCAGACUCCUACGGGAGGCAGCAGUAGGGAAUCUUCCGCAAUGGGCGCAAGUCUGACGGAGCAACGCCGCGUGAGUGAAGAAGGUCUUCGGAUCGUAAAACUCUGUUGUUAGAGAAGAACAAGUGCUAGAGUAACUGUUAGCGCCUUGACGGUAUCUAACCAGAAAGCCACGGCUAACUACGUG